This 996-nucleotide long non-coding RNA is filed under the name Homo sapiens (human). RNAcentral's name for it is "HSALNT0158655". The record is from RNAcentral. Lineage: Eukaryota; Metazoa; Chordata; Mammalia; Primates; Hominidae.
UCUCAUGCCCCUUCAACGCCGGGUUUCUUUUGAUUAACUAUUGGUAUAUUUCCUCUUAAUGCCAACAGCAGCCUCCUCUGCUCAUCUCUCCCGCUGCCCCCAUCAGAAAAUCCAUAACCACAACCUUUCCCAGCCUUUAAGCUGCCUCUGGAGAGUCAGGGAAGCCAAUGGCAUCAUUGUUCACGCGGCAACUGUGCUGCACCUCGUUGUGCAAAAGCUUGGUGGGCGUCCGUGACUUCAGGAGCCCGUGAGAAGGGGAAGCCGUCGGUAUUGUGCCUCAUGCCAAAGAACCGGACUACCCACCAGGGACAGUUACUUGUCUUUUACAAUAUCCAGGAAGUGCCCUUCAUCACAGACGCUGAAGUUUGACUGUGGCCUUAUGCGGUACAUUGUACUGACAUAUUUUCUCAUGGGAACUGUUGGGCUAGUUCAGGCAAGUAUCUGCAAUGCUUAAACAGACAGUUUCAGGCUGGAGAAUUUAAGAGACAACCAAAUAGAGUUUUAAUGCCCUGUAAGAUAAUAACGAAAGACAUUUAUGAAAAAAAAAAUUCCAGUUAGUUUGAAAGCCAGGGCCCGCACUCCAUAUUUUGACAGCAGAUGGAUGGCUAGCUUGACUGAUCCUGGUUUACUUUCUGACUUGAAUUUGUCCCCUAGUCCAGUGAAAUCAUAAGGGCUCCCUUCAAUCUGGUUAAUGUUCAGAACCAAUGUUUGAGUUUUAGACUAAUUAAGGGGCAACCACUGACAUUUUUUCUAUAAUGUGAAGACUGGUGCCAGCAGUAACUCAGUGAGAUUUAACAUAAAAGCCAGAUAAAACAAUUAAAGUGGAAGAAUAUUUGAUUAAGUGGAUCACUGAUUUAUAGUGAGGUAAAUUGAAAUUGAAAGGAGAGUGAACUUUUUAUGGCAAUCAUAUAUUACGUUCAUUAUCAGAGACUCUGGAUCCUUUGUGCUUUUGUGAUUUAAAAAGAAAUAAACCAGUUUAAGGAGAGUCAUCCUGGC